UCACAGUUCUGUAGGCUGGACAUACAAGUACGAAGUGGUAUUCAUUUUCAAUACAAGCCAUAUUGCAGCAUUCACAUAGACGCAUAUGUCUAGGAAUAUUUUUAUAUCGCCCUAAUUCCAAAUUCAGUUUCAAAGUACCACUUCUCAAUUUUGUAAGUAAGUUACUAUUAAUAAAAAAAUCUAAAUAAUUCUCUAUUACAAAGUCUGUUUUGAGGUGUUUAUAAAUACACAGUUUUUCACAAUCAUUUAUUGAUGCAUACCAAGUUUGUAAAUACUGGUCCUUUAUACGAGUUUUUAUAACAUCUAACUGUAUAUUUACAUAAUUCUGUGCAGUCCAAACAUAGUUCAAACCAAGAUUAAACAAUAAAUCACGAACACUAGACGCCCAGUUCUUUUUACCAUUGUUUGCAUCUUCUAAUAAAAGUUGGUAAACAUCAUAAACAAUAGGUGGCUUAUUUACAAUAAUA
Molecule: long non-coding RNA, 467 nt
Filed under: Mytilus galloprovincialis (Mediterranean mussel)
Lineage: Eukaryota; Metazoa; Mollusca; Bivalvia; Mytilida; Mytilidae
Source: RNAcentral